Molecule: ribosomal RNA, 490 nt
Filed under: uncultured bacterium
Lineage: Bacteria
Description: partial 16S ribosomal RNA
Rfam family: Bacterial small subunit ribosomal RNA
Source: RNAcentral
AUUGAACGCUGGCGGCAGGCCUAACACAUGCAAGUCGAACGGUAACAGGAAGAAGCUUGCUUCUUUGCUGACGAGUGGCGGACGGGUGAGUAAUGUCUGGGAAACUGCCUGAUGGAGGGGGAUAACUACUGGAAACGGUAGCUAAUACCGCAUAACGUCGCAAGACCAAAGAGGGGGACCUUCGGGCCUCUUGCCAUCGGAUUUGCCCAGAUGGGAUUAGCUAGUAGGUGGGGUAACGGCUCACCUAGGCGACGAUCCCUAGCUGGUCUGAGAGGAUGACAAGCCACACUGGAACUGAGACACGGUCCAGACUCCUACGGGAGGCAGCAGUGGGGAAUAUUGCACAAUGGGCGCAAGCCUGAUGCAGCCAUGCCGCGUGUAUGAAGAAGGCCUUCGGGUUGUAAAGUACUUUCAGCGGGGAGGAAGGGAGUAAAGUUAAUACCUUUGCUCAUUGACGUUACCCGCAGAAGAAGCACCGGCUAACUCCGUG